Mirounga angustirostris (Northern elephant seal) is the source of this 20698-nucleotide long non-coding RNA. RefSeq lists it as uncharacterized. NCBI's taxonomy places the organism in Eukaryota, Metazoa, Chordata, Mammalia, Carnivora, Phocidae. The record is from RefSeq and is a predicted model, not a curated record. The transcript is spliced from 2 exons.
AUGGAAAACAACAGGAGAAAAAACCUAAUGGGUCAUUACAGCAAACGUGUGAGUGAGGCCAGGCUUUUGUUUAGAGAAAGCUCAUAUGGUGUGGAAGAUAGCAGACCUGGUUUGUGAAAUCAUCCCGGGGGCUUUGUCGUGCUCUUCUUGGUCUUAGGAGAGACCCAAGAGGGCUCAGCGAAGCACAACUAAUAAUAGAAUUAAGAAGAUGAAAGCAAUUUGGAUUAUUUAGCCUAAAAGAAAUUAGGGUUUAAAAACUGUCUUAAGAGGUUCUAGAUGAAAACACUGAUCAAUUGCGAACCAUUUUCACAGAGGAUAGAAGAAGAAAUGGCCUUAAAUUGAUUAAGAGAGCUUGAAGAAGAGAUCCUUGCCAGGGAGGCUGAUGAUAGCUUGGCAUGGGCUGAUAGUGGGCUAGCUCAGUGCUGGGAGGACUGAAUAUAAGAAACACCAUCUGUCCUAGAAGAUCCAGGGACACUUUCCAGAAGGUUCCUUGAAGUUCCAAUCCUGUGAUGUCUUGAUGAAGGUAUAAACUCACCUAAUCUGUUCCUGAAUGAGCUAUCCUGGAACUCGACGUGUCUGUAUUCUUGGCCAGGACUGGUCUUGGGAGAGCUGGUAGCCAUCUGUGUGAUGGGAGGGCUGGCUGCCAAAAUACCAUUCCUACCGCUGAGUCAUGCUGUCUGAAAUCCUACCAGGUGACAAUCAUUCUUUGGUCAUCAAGAGCCCAAUGGAGUGUGAGUGAUGCCCUUAUGGUUUUCUUUUUUUCUUUCUUUUCUUAAGUUCCAGAGGGAAUAAGUGUGGAGGUUUUGAGAUAGCCAGCUUAGAAUUUUCUCUCUUUAGGGAUUGUUAAGAAAAAUUAUCCAAAACUUAGAAAUAAGGCAAAGGGGCAUGUCCUCUCAGUGUCAUACUGAGGCACUGUUUGACAUGCUCACCCAAGGAUUAUUUAAUUCUUGAGAAUAUACUUGUGUUUGACUAAGCCCAGAAACAGUAGAGUUACAUGUUAACUUGUCGAUUUCUGUCCCUUAGAAAAAAUAACCACAAAGGUUAUGGUUUUAUUCCCAUGUAGGCAUUAACCAGUUUUGUACCUAACUGAGCAGUGAUUCUAACAUUCUGUUUUGGGUCUAAAGGUCGUCACUUCUGCAAAUGCUCUUGGAACCAUCUUUCUUAUCGUACUGGUUUGCUCAUUAAUAAGUUAAAUACAUUUUGGACACAUGUAUAUAUUUGUGUGAGAGUCAUGAGUUUAACUUUUUGAAAAUUAUGCUUUGAUAGGAAGGAGAUGAGAUAACUGUAGCACAGUAGCUUUAAAGAGCACGACGUUGAUUCUCAUCUGGAUAGAGGUUUGUAUGUCAUUCCUUGAAAGAGAGGGAUUCCUUAAUUCUCAGGUAAUCCAUGAUUAGCCAGCCCUUGGUGAGCAAGAGGGAAUUGGAUUUUUUCUAACCUUAACAGAGGUGUUGGGCUUUUUUUGUUUUUGAUUUUUUGAUUUUUUUGUUUAUUGUUUUUUGUUUGGUUUUUGUUUUUGCUUUUGUUUUUGCUGAGAGCUUUGGGUGAAGCCAGCACCACCAGAGUGAAAAGGGAUUCUGAGUGAUAGAAUGCUUAGGAUUCUGAUGGGUGCACCUGCCACAUUGGAGAGCAAGAUUUCAGAGGCAGAGGGAUUCAGGGGAAGUCCAGGCCCUGGCACCAUCAUGGGAGAAGGUGACUGAACCUCACCGGAAUACAGGAGUUAAGGCAGAGAGUGGCUGGGAGCCAAAGGAGGCACCUGUGGGAAUGUGGAACCCCUCGCUCAUGGCGACAGACUCUGGUGGUGGCAGCAGUGCCACCUGCCCAGUGAUGCCUGGUGACCAAAGAAGCCAGUGGUUUAGACCAUUCCGGGGAUAAGAGGCACAAAUGGAGAAGUCGGCCGUGAGAGGCCCAAUCAUCAUGAAAAUUAUUUGGGUGACACAUGGGCAGAGUGUCUACCUGAGGUUGCUGCCUAUCCUGUCCUAAGACGCAGAGACACAGGUAAACCUUGGAUGCCAACCUCUCUGGUGUUGACAUCGCAUUCUAGGCCUUUCUCGGAAAACAGCCCCUUCUGUCUCAAAAGGGUCCACAGAUGGGGCAAGCUGAGGACAUCUUCCCAAGCCAUAGAAAGCAACACCCAGCCCUGGGAAACUUUGGACCUGCAGGGCUAUAUUUCACUCUUGGAUGGCAGUCUGCAGAUUCUUAAACUCACUCCCUAGCUCCUACCCUGGGGCUGCUAUUCUGCUCCUGUUCAAGGCUCAAAUGCCACCUCAUGCUGCUGGUCCCAACCGGGGAGUCUGAGCCCCUCAGAGGCAUCUCCCAGAUAAAACCCAACACCACAAUUCCUCACACUCAUUGUAUGGAGUGGUCUCACUCCACCGGGCUCUGUCAAAGCUGCAAAUUCCAGAUUUCUCUCUCUUGUGUUUUUGAACCUAUUUGCUUUUGAUUAUGGUUUGGUUUUGAAAGGAAGAGUCACACACGAUCCAGCUCCCUGUUUUCUUUCUCAGAUGGAGUAGUAAAGCUUAUUUAUAGUGGAACUGUUUUGUUUUUUUUUUUUCCCAUUAUGGCAUAUUUAAUUUUAUUACUCUAUUGCCUUGCACUUUGAAUUACAUAGGGGAAGCAAUGCAUAAAAGAAUAUUCCGUUGGUUUUCUUUUUUUCCCCUCGUGUAGUUGAUUGUGGAAAAAAGGAUGUAGCAUCCUAUUAGUCAUCCUGUACCAUGAUGAUUUUUUUGCCUGUGACCAACAAAAUUACAUUUUACACUUGAAUGAACUCUCUAAAUGGACCCUUUUCUUCAACAUAUGUGGACAUAAGAUUCAAAGUAUGGCCAACCCCAUGCAUCACAUCCAAAGUCCAUUUCAGCUGUGGUUUAUGAUUCUCUCCAGGAAUGCAAUAUGCUGCAGAGCACCAUGGUUUGGGCUUCUGAUGAGAAGUUUGAGCAUGCUAUUUAUUUUGUUCUUCUGUCUUUCUAUUCAAACCAUUUGAAAAGAUCACUGAACUCUAGGUAAUUUGGGACAGCCUUUGGUUACAGUCACCUUGGCUCCUUAGCUUAUUUCUCCAUCACUCUGGUCUUUGCUUUCUUAGGCUUGGAAAAAGGACAAGGAAAAUCUCUCUCUUUGGAACCAGCGAGGUUCCUUAAUUGCUCAAAUGGGCUUCUGAAAGAUAUGGUUGUAUUUCACGUGAAGCUUUUUCACAUGUUCUAAAGUCUUAGGUUUGAAUCCACGUUUCUUACCAUUUUUGACCAUGUUUUCUGACUAUGUUUUCUAUCAUGUUAGACCAAGUAGGUACUUCAAUGAGAUGCUUCUACCUCUGUUGUUUCGUUUCUAGGAGAGAACACGGAAUCCGAGGGGAAGGUAUUUGCCAUGCUCGAAAUCCCCACAAAUUAGGAGAAAGACUGAUCGAACCCUAUUGUUCUGUCUCAAUUUGUACAAAUGAAAGGAAAGUGGAUUUUUAACAACUUGUGAUGCUCUCCAAUAAAGAGGUGGCAAUGCUGAAUAUCCCAAUUUUCUGUGUUCAUUGGCCCCUCAGUUGCUUUGGAAAGCAUCCUACGGAUAUGGAGAAAUCAGAACCUUGGUAUACUGCUGAUAGGAAUGUAAAAUGGUGCAUCUGUUUUGGAAAACAGUCUGGCAGUUCCUCAAAAAGUUAGACAUAGAGUUACCAUGUGACCCAGCAAUCCCACUCCUAUAUAUGUAUAUAAAUCCAGGAAAACUGAAAAACGUUUGUCCACACAAAACUUAUACAUGAAGGUCCAUAGUAGCAUUAUUCAUAAUAGUCAAAAUGUAGAAACAACCCAAAUGUCUAUCAACCAAUGACUGGAUAAAUAACAUGAUUAUAUCCAUACAGUGGAAUAUUAUUUGGCAGUAAAGAGGAAUUCUAACAAGAUAUUUAAACCAAAAAUAAAAAUAAAUCAUUAGGGCAAUUUUUUACUUCAAAUCAAGGAAGGAUUUAUAUCUAAACAUAAUAAUAAUGAUGAUGCUUGUUUGUUUAUUAUAGUUACUAAUCUGCAUAUCUCAUGAUAACCUCCAAAAAUAGUUUUUAUCAUUCCCAUUUUCAGACAAGGAAACUGAGGUUCAAAGAAAUGUGAUACUUUCUGAAGUCUCCCAGUCGUUCUGUGUGCCAAGUCUGGCCUUCUUACAGUUUCUGAAAUGUGUGAUGCCCUUGACCUCAGGCUGGCAGAGUAAGUUGGGGUUAGGGGUGGAAAGAACCCACUGCAGUGUGGUUUUCGUGUAUUCCAACACAUAUUUCUUCAGGUGAAGAAGCAGGCUGCAUAGACACAUGCAGUUCUCCAUAGUUCUUCAUAGUACACUUCUAGUCGGCAAUCGGAGAAAAGAUUCAGUAGUUUUGCACCUGCACCCCAAUAAUAAAUGGGGGGACAACCCUGAAUUCAUGGAUAAAAGGAAACUUUCUAAUAUAUUAGUUCAGUCAUUCCAGUUUCGCAUGGGUAAUUCUUUUCCCAUCCGUGGCUUGGUCUGGGUCAGAAGCUAGCUUCUUGGGUCCACGGGUGGAGUUCUUCUAGUCCGGUUUCAGGAGCCAAGUGGCUCCUGGUAGGUCCUGGGUUCACGCCAGUGGUUCCUUCCAGCCACCAGCCUCCCCCGGCACAGCAGCCUGAGUUCCUCUGCCUGUACGGACCCCAGUCCUGGCCCCGAUGUCCCUGGCCUGUUUGAAGGGUUUGUUCCUGUCGGACUCUGCCAGGCUUUGUACCGUUCCUGACACUUUAGCAGUAGCUUGAGUGCUUUGUGUCACCUCUUUUUCUUCGGGCCUGUUUGCUUUUGAGCUCAGCUGUGUAACAAAAUUCUGUUGUAUUUUAUUCAGUAUUUCCAUUCAUUUGGAGCAGGACAUCUUUCCUCAUCAUCUCAGUCUUCCAUGUUGACCAGAAUGUUUACAUUUUGACUGUUUCUUUUGUGGCCUUAUUGUUAUGGACUGAAUGUUUGCAUCCCCCCCCAAAUGCAGAUGUUGAAGCCUCAUCCCCAAGGUGGGGGUGUGAGGAGGCGGGGCUUUGGUGGGGGGGUUAGGGUGGAGCCCUCUCCUAAUCUCCUUCACCCUAUUUAAAGCUAUUGGUCUUAAAUUCCACUUUGUCUGAUCUUCGCAUUGCCUCCACUCUCAUUUUGUUUAUUCUUGCCUGAUAUAGUUUCCCAUUUCUUUCUUUCCAAGCUUUCUUUGUCAUUUCAUUUGGCUGUUUUUCAUAAAUAGCAUGUAACAAAUAGUUCUUUAAAACUCUAUUUCAGAUUGUGUCGUUCAGUGGAGGAAUUUAAUCGAGUCCUAUUUAUUGAGAUGUCUGAUGUCCUUGGUCUUCUUUUUUCUUUCUCGUUUUUUUUUAAUGCAUGAUAUUGGCCAGGCAGGGGGAUCUUGGAUCACAGCCUUACCUCUCAAAAGCCUUAAGCCUGGCUCUACUGCCUCAGUGUUCCAGGUGUUUCCAGUGAGGAAUCUGGUGUCAUUCGAAUUCUCUUCCCUAUGUAAAUAAUUUGUUUUCAUUCUCAGGUAGCUGGCAUUUGGGAAUUUACCAGAUUACAUCCAGGUGUGACUCUUUUUUUGCUUUUCAAAUUGUCAUUAUUAAUCUUGCUUGGUACUUGAGUUUACUUCUGGUCCAGAAAUUGUUCUUUAUUCAGGUAAGGAGUAUUCUGCUUGUUUUUCAAGUUUGCGUCUCCAUGUCAUUUUUCUCGAACUCCUAAUGUUCAAUAGCCAAUAUUCACCCAGUAUGCAGUAUUCUUGAAUCUAUACUCCCUACCUCUUCUGCUUCAUUUAUGAUUUUCAUUUCAUUGAGUUUUCAAGCUCUGAGAUCAGUCAGUUCAUUGGUCAUUCAGAUAAACUUGUGCACCAUUAUGAGAAAGUUCAGGAUGGAGGGAUGACUGUUAGCAUGCUGCACUUUUUAUGCUAGUUUGCUUGGGAAUGGUUUACACCUGGAAAGCAGCAGGAUCCCAAACCUCUUGAUGGGGAGACUGCCUCAGUCAGGGGUUAGUUUCAGACUCCCAGGCUGACCCCAGAUGGCAUUUCAGCCUGCCAGAUCCCAGGAUGAUUCCGGCUUCUAAAGGAAGUAGCAGUGCUGAUGGUUUUUGAAGUUGAGUUUAUUCUUUGGCCCAGUUGGGUAUUUCCUGGAAUCACUUCUUUUUUCCCUUUGUACCCUGUUUACGGGCCCACCCACUUGCUCUCAUCACCCUGACGUGGGUCCUGGGUAUUGUUAUCAUUUGUCCCCGGGUCAGCUUCCUCAUGAGCCUGUGAGUUCCAUUUACCUUCCCCCCUCAGUCAGCUCAGGCUGCUGUAACAGAGGACCACAGGCUGGGGAGUUUAAACAACAGAAAUUUAUGUCUCAGUUCUGGAAGCUGGAAGUCCAAGAUCAAGGUGUCAUCAGGUUUGGUUUCUUUUGCGGCCUCUCCUUGGCUUGCAGGUAGCCAUCUCUUUGUUGUGUCCCCACGAGGUCUUUCCUUUGUGUGUGUACAUUCCUGGUGUCUCUUUGUAUGUCCAAAUUUUCUCUUCUUCUAAGGACACCCAUCAGAUUGGAUCAGGGCCCACCCUAAUGACCUCAUUUAAACUCAAUUAACUUUUUAAAGGUCCUGUCUUCAAAUAUAGUCAUAUUCUGAGGUACUGAAGAUUAAGGGUUCAACAGGUGAAUUUGGGGGACACAGUUUAGUCCGUAACACACUAGCUUGGUGUAGGCUUUGUUGAUAGAUGUUCAACUAACCAAGUAAAGGUUAGUUGAGAGCCUGAAUGAAAGUCCUCCAUUUGUUCUUUAAUCAUUUUGACUUUCAAGCAGGUUGUGUUGCAUAGGAUGGCACCAUAUGCUCUUUUAAGAUAAAUUAAGUGAACUAUCUCUUUACUGUCUUUUUUUAUCCUUAGCCAGUAAUAUUUUGUGUAAGUAACUCUAUAGUAGUGUGAAUACAUGGUCCUUCCUCCACCCCCCCCCCCUGCAAAAUAUCCUUCUAUUGCAUGGUAAAGAAAAAAGUUCAGUACCUUAGGGCAGAUUCAAUCCACAGCCUCCGCACUGUAUUUCUCGCAACAGGCCUAUGUGUGGUUUGUCUGUGGGGAUUUGAAUCUGUGUUAUUGCAUACUGGAUUUACCUGCCUUGGGAAUUCAGUUCUUUUUUCUUUCUUAGCACUUUCUCUGUCUCAUCAUAUUUAUUUCCAUGCUCUGCCCCAAGCUCUGACAAACUUGAAUUUUUCAAAAAGCACAGAGAUAUGCAUUAUACUGAUUAUGGCAGUUAUUUGUGGUCUUUCUAGUUUAUAAUAAUGAAAAGCUGGAAUUAAAAUUUUUUUCCUUUGGCUAUUUUAUUCUUUUGCAGUCUUCAUUUUUAUAUUUUGUUUUUGGUCUUUUCAUUGAGUUUUUGAUCUCUGAAAUAGCAAUUUAAAAUAGCUAUCCAAUGGUAUAUGUAUCCACAACAGAGUUUGUUGCCAAGCAUACAAAAUGAAUGGGUUCCUUAUUCAAAUGUUAAAUGCCUACAUACAGAGUCUAUGUAUAGAACUGAGAUCGAGAUCUGGAAUUGGAUUCUACAAUGGAUAUCAUCAGGAUGACAGCUUCCAGUGGACUUAGGAUUUCAUUGAAUUUAAUAGUCCAUCAAUGCUAUCUAAUAAAACAAUGUGAUUCUUCUCAGUGAGUGGUCUCAAGAGCCAAGGGAAGUUCAUGUCUUGGCCACUCUGAACUACUUGCUGUGACCCACACUUUCCACACUGGUUCUUUUCUGGCUCAUGAGCAUGACUUUCCAUCUGCUAAGAACACUCUUCCUCUCUUGACCACUGGGAAGCUGUCCCUGAUCCCAAACUAGCCUAGAUGCUCUCUAAGGGCUUCCAAAGAUCCUGAGCAUGUAUAUGCUGAUUUGGAAGUGACUGUUGAUAUGUCUGUCCCUCCUUUUUGGCUAAAGGUCCUUUCUGUGCCAUGGAUGUCUUUGGAAGCUAAUGAGGCCUAUGAAUCAUAUCUUAGAAUCAUUUUUUAAAUGUAUAAAUUAAAACACAUUGAGUUCUGCUUCAGGGCAAGAUGGAAUAAGCACAUUCCACUCUGUCUCCAAGCAGAUGCUGCUCUAGGAGUUGGUAGAAUGGUGAAGACAGAAUCUGAAGUACCCCUGAACUGGUGGUGAGAUAUCAUUUUCCCUUUCCAAAACCAUCCAGCCUGGAUUCAGCACAGCCCAAAACCCAGAUGUACGCACUGGUGCCAAUAGAGCCCCAAGAGAAGCACUACAGGGAGCAGAAAGGAGGUCUUCUAAUGUUUAGAAGGAGUGGAGAAAUCCCCUAUAUAGUUUUGUUUUUUUCUCCUCUCCAUUCUCUUGCAACUCAGCCCCCCAAGCAAUCCUAUGGAGUCAGGGGCAUGAGAGCUCUCAGAAGCCUAAAACUGAGGGAGGAAAGUCUUACCUCUGAUCAGAGGAACUGUGGCCCCAACAGCAUGGGGAAGCAAACCCCCCGAGUUUUUUUUUUUUUCUCUGGGUCCUCCCACCGUUCGUCCCUGGGUGCAGAUAUAGUUAUGGGACAUGCAUAGAAGAGCAGGCUAAGUAAAGCCCCAGAUUUCUGGCCAGAGGACCAAAAAGUUGAGCCUCUGGGAACUGGAAAGUACCAGAGAGAGGGAAGAGUUAGAGAAAGCAACCUCAUGAAGUUGUUAAUAAACUUUUGGGCUCACCCCUGAGAUUCACAAGAAUAGACCUGACCCUAAAUAGCAUUGCUUUUGAGAACUGAACUACAAAUAAGAUCAUUGCCCAGGUUAUGGACUGGCCACCUACUAAUGUGCACAGAGAUAGAUCUGAAGUCAUGGAAAACAGAACCCAUAGAAGACUGGUUGGAACUUGUGGCCUGAAUUGAAGCUGGAAGAUUCUCUGUUUAAAAAAAAAAAUAAAAAAAAUCAAUGCUCUCCAUAGGAUUUGGUCUAGAGUCCUAGAGUCUUGUAAAAUAAUCAUCAAAUAUCCAGGAUACAGUUAAAAAUUACUCAGCACAUAUGAAGAAUUGGGAGGAAUCUGUUUGUAUGGGAAAAGACAGUCAACAGAAGCCAAUGCUUAGGUGACACAGAAUUUAAAACAGCUGUUAUAAAAUACCCCAACAUGUAAGGGCAAGUAUUCUUAAAAUGAAUUAAAAGAUAAGAGAUGUAAGAUAUAAAGAAGGGCUGAAAGGAGACUUUAGAAUGGAAAAAUACUAUAACUGAAAUAAAAAUCUCACUGUAUAGGCUCAUUAGCAGAAUGGGGAUGACAGAGGAAAGGGAAAAUGAUAUCUCACCACCAGUUCAGGGGUACUUCAGAUUCUGUCUUCACCAUUCUACCAACUCCUAGAGCAGCGAAUUUCAAUAUAGACCAAUAGGAAUUAUAAAAUCUGAAUCAUACAGAGAAAAAAUAUUAAAAAUAAAAAAGAACAGAGCUUCCUCAACCUGUGGGAAAACACCAAAAUGUCUAUCUUUUCAUAGGAGUCCUAGAAAGAAAAGAUGUGGUGUACAGAAAAUGUUUGAAGAAACAAUGGCUGAAAACUUGCCAAAUUUGGAGAAAGACAUAAGCCUACAGACUCAAGAAGUCUAGGAAACUCCAAAUGAGAUAAACCAAAGAAAUCCACACCCAGACACAUCAUUAUCAAACUGCUGAAAACUGAAGGAAAAAUAUAUUUAAAGAUUUUUAUUUAUUUAUUUUUGUGAGAGAGAGAGAGUGAGCAUGAGUGGGGGGAGGGGCAGAGGGAGAAGCAGACUCCCCACCAAGGUGGGAGCCCAAUGUGGGACUCGAUCCCAGGACCCUGGGAUCAUGACUUGAGACAAAGGCAGACACUUAACCAACUGAGCCACCCAAGCACCCUAUUUAAAGCAGCCAGAGAAAAACUACACAUUAACUUAUAGAGGAGUGUGAUUUAAAUAGCCAUAGAUUUCUCCACAAAGAAACAGAACAUUUUUAAAGAACAUUUUAUUUAUUUUUUUUAAUUUUUUUUUAAAGAUUUUAUUUAUUUAUUUGACAGAGAGAGAGAUAGCGAGAGCAGGAACACAAGCAGGGGGAGUGGGAGAGGGAGAAGAAGGCUUCCUGCUGAGCAGGGAGCCCGAUGUGGGACUCGAUCCCAGGACCCUGGGAUCAUGACCUGAGCCGAAGGCAGACACUUAACGACCAAGCCACCCAGGCUCCCUUAAAGAACAUUUUAAAAGAACUGUCGACCCAUAAUUCUAUAUCCCAUAAAAAUUCCCUUCAGAAAUGAAGAUGAAAUAAAGACAUUCUCAGGUGACGGGAAACUAAGAGACUUUGGUAUCACCAACUCUAUUACUAAAGGAAUUCCUUCAGACAGAUGGUAAAUGACACCAAAAGGCAAGCUGAAACAACAAGAAUUAAGAAAAAAAACAACAGAAAUGGUGAAUACCUGGGUAAAUAUAAUACUCUUCAUCUUUUAAGUUUUUUAAGAUAUAUUUUGGUUAAAAACAAAAAUUAUAACAUUGUUUAGUGGGAUUUUGAGUGUAUGUUGAUGUAACAAAUACAACAACCCAACAUGAGGGAGGGAAGAUAAGGGAAUGUAUGUGGUGUUAAUAUAUCACUUGAAGUGGUAGAUACUGACUUUAUAUAGACUAUGAAAAGUUAAAUAUGUAUAUUUUAAUCCCUAGAACAAACACUUAAACAUUACACAAAGAGAUACAUAGUAAAAAUGCAAUAGAUAAAUUAAAAUAGAAAACUAAAAAAUGUUUAAAAGAGAAAAGAAACUAAAAGAAAAGGGAAAAGCCAGAAACUAAAAAUAGACAAGCAGAAAACAAAUAAUAAAAUGGUAGCUAUAUCCAAAGAUAUAAGUAAUUACAUUAAAUGUAAAUGCACUAAAGACACUAAUUAAAGCACAGGUUGUCAGAACAGAUUUUUAAAAAUGACUCAAUUAUAUUUUGUCUAUAAGAAAAACUCACUUCAAAUAUAAUGACCUAGGUAGUGUAAAAACAAAAGAUGGAAAAUAUAUAUCACUAAUCAGAAGAAAGCUGUGGUGGCUGCAGUAAUAUCAGACAAAGCAGACGUCAGAGCAAAGAAUACAAAGGGGCAAUACCUAAUGACAAAAAGAGUAAUUUAUCAAGAAGAUGCAUAAUCCUAAAUUUGUUUACCAAAUAAAAGAGCUUGAAAAUACAUGAAGCAAAAACUAACAACUGAAAGAAGAGAUAGACAAAUCCACAAUAAUAGCUAGGACUUCAACAUUCCUCUCUUGGUCAUCAGUAGAACUAGCAGACAGAAAGCUGACAAGGGGUAUAUACUAUAAAUUACUGGUGUGAAUUGACAUUUACAGAAUACUACACCCCAAAACAGCACAAUACAUAUUCUUCUCACGUAUACAUGGAACUGUCACCAAGAUAAAUUAUAUCCUGUGUCAUAAUAAAAAUUUUUAAACAAAUUUAGGGAAUUGAAAUCAUGCCAAGUAUGUUCUCUGACUAUAAUGGAAUUAGACUGGAAGUCAAUAACAGGAUGAUAACAGGAAAAAUUCCAGACCCUUGGAAAUAAAACAGUACUCUUCUAAAUAAUCCAUGAGUCAAAAAGGAAGUCUCAGGGAAAUUAGAAAAUAUUUGAAUUGAAUGAAUAUGAAAAUAUGUAUCAAAACUUGUGAGAUGCAGAUAAAGCAGUGCUUAGAGGGAAAUUUACACAAUUAAAAUGCUCAUACUUGAAAUGAGAAAGCUAUCAAACCAAUAAUCUAGCUUAAGAAAUUAGAAAAAGAAGAGCAAAAUAAACCAAAACAAGCAGAAGAAAAGGAAUAAUAGAAAUAAGAACACAAGUUAAUCAAAUUGAAAACAAUUUCAAAACCAAAACUUGGUUCUUUGUGAAGAUUAAUAAAAUUGAUAAAUCUCAAAUGAGAAUUCUAGAAAGAGAGAGAACACAAAUGACCAAUAUCAAGGAUGAAAAAUGAGUUAUCACUACAAACUCUGUUCAUAAAUUCAACAAUUGAGAUAAAAUGGACAAAUUCUGCAAAAAAACACAAACUACCAAAUGUCCCCUGAGAUGAAAUAUAGAUGAGUAGCCCUAAAACUGUUUUUCAAAAUGAGUUUGUAGUUAGAAACCUUCUGUUUUCUAAAAUCUCCAUGCUCAGAUCAUUCUAGCAAAUUCUACAAAAUACUGCUAGUGAUGGUUCACACUAGCAAAUUCUACCAAAUAUUUAAAGAAAAAAUACAACAAAUUCUACACAGUCUCUUCCGGAACAUAGAAGGGGAGGUAACACUUCUCAAAUAAUAAGGCCAGCAUUAGCUUGAUACUGAAGCCAAACAAAGAUGGUACAACAAAAGCAGAGUACAGAGCAAUACCCCUCAUGAACACAGAUGAAAAAAUUCUAAACAAAAUAUUGGCAAAUAUCUAGCAUACAUAAGCACAUGAAGAGCUGUUCAACAUCAUUGACCAUUAAAAGCAAUGCAAGUUAAAUCCUGAUGAGAUAUAACUACAUGCCCAGAAUGGCAAAAUAGGAUGCUGAAAAUAAAAAAAAAAUACUGGCAAUACCAAGUGCUCAUGACAAUGCAGAGCAAUUGGAACUUUCAUACAUUCCCAGUGGGAAUGCCAAAUGGCACAGCCCCUCUGGAAAACCACUUGGUGGUUUCUUAUAAAACCAAAGACUUACCUAUGAUCCAACAGUCCUACUCCUGGGUGUUUUCCCAAGUGAACUGAAAACUUAGGUUCCACAAAAAUCUACCUGAGUGUUUAUAGCAGCUCUGUUCAUAUUCAUCAAUAUCUGGAAACAAUCCAAAUGUCUUUCAAUAGGUGAAUGUGUAAGUAAACUGGGGUACAUCCCUACAGUGGAAUACAACUCAGUUUAGCAAUAAAAAGGAUGAACUAUUGACACACAUAACAACUUGGAUGAAUCUCAAAGGUGUUAUGCUGAAAGAAGCCAAUCUUGAAAGUUCUAUAUACUGUAUAAUUCCAUUUAUAUGAACUUUUUGAAAAAAUAAAACUAUAAUGACAGAGGCAGAUCAGUCUUUUCCAGGGGUGAGAGGUUAGUGAAGAAAAUGUUUUGUUAUUUUUUCCCCACCCAAGUUCACACACCACUUGGGGAAGAGGGUCUGUGGGCCCCAAGUUAAAAAACCCAUCCUAUGCUAUAUAUUAUAUAGAAAUUGUCUUUUUUGUUUGUUCUUCUAUGUCCUGUGCCUACUAGAGUGGACCAACUUAUGGUAGGCACUCAAUUAUCUGGUUAAUAGAAUAAAUGAGGCACCUGGGUGGCUCAGUCGGUUAAGCAUCUGCCUUUGGCUCUGGUUAUGAUCUCAGGGUCCUGGGAUGGAGCCCCACGUUGGGUUCUCUGCUCAGCAGGGAGUCUGCUUCUCCCUCUAUGCUCUCCUUCUCUCUCAAAUAAAUAAAGUCUUUUUAAAAAAAGAGAAUAAAUGAAUGAACAAUUACGAAAGGACAAACAUAUAACAAUAUAUUGAGAGACUCCAGAGACUUGAAGAAAAAUGGACCCAUUUUGUUUAACCCAAUGUAUGAUCACUGUUCAUAAUUAUGAAUUGGACUGUCUCUAAUAACUCCUCUAACUGUACUUUUCUGGUUGGGCCACUGACCAAGUUUUGUCUGGUGUUGUGGAACCUGCACUGUUGCUGAGCAUCUCUUGUUUCCAUCCUGUAGAGGGAACACAAUUAAGUCCUUUGUCAGAGUUAUACAGCUAGGGGCGCUUGGGCGGCUCAGUUGGUUAAGAGACUGCCUUCGGCUCAGAUCAUGAUCCUGGAGUCCUGGGAUUGAGUCCCGCAUCGGGCUCCCUGCUUGGCAGGGAGUCUGCUUCUCCCUCUGACCCUCCCCCCUCUCAUGUGCUCUCUCUCUCUCUCCUUCUCUCUCUCUCAAAUAAAUAAAUAAAAUCUUAAAAAAAAAAAAAGAAUUAUACAGCUUGUUGUCAUCAAAGAUGAUAGAUAACUGUCCUAAAGGUACACAUUGCAAUUUGUGUUUGAGAUUUCUCAGGCCCUGUAGGACAGGAUUUGGUAGGUGCAGAGCUGAGGCCAUAACGAGAUUCUGUCAAUGGGUGUCAUCCAGGCUUAGCAAGGAGUCCAGGGUGAAGGAGCAGAAGUGGGCAAGCACAGCAGGGCACUUUGCAUGAGAGGGCAUCAAUGGGAAAUUGAUGGGGCCCCAUAAACUAAAGUUGGUGUUAGAACCAGAGAAGCCCUCCACACCCCCAGCAGUAGUAAGAGCCGGUGAGAACAAUCACCAGAAGGUUCUGGAAGAGUUGCACAAACCUAAUGAGUUGCUACACUUUACUGACCCUGUCAUGUACCAGCAGUCUCCUUGGUGGUCCUGGCAGGGCAUUCCAGACCUGAAUAAAAGAUUGGAAAAGGCUAAUAUCUUAUUUCAUUAAGUCAAGUCAAGCCAUUUUUACUUCUGUGAGCAAAUGUGGUGGUUGGUGCUCAGUGACAUUGCUGGAUGUAAGAUCCACCAUUAUUUUAUAUAAGAAAGGAAAAACAGGGGCGCCUGGGUGGCUCAGUUGGUUAAGCGACUGCUUUCGGCUCAGGUCAUGAUCCUGGAGUCCUGGGAUCGAGUCCCGCAUCGGGCUCCCAGCUCAGCGGUGAGCCUGCCUCUCCCUCUGACCUUCUCCCCUCUCAUGCUGUUUCUCUCUCGCUCGCUCUCUAAUACAUAAAUAAAUAAAAUCUUUAAAAAAAAAAAAAAAAAAGAAAGGAAAAACACUCAGUAGACUGACGGGUGCCUUUAACAACAGUCCUGACUGACCUAUGAAUCAAUCACAGCAGAGUUUUUUGAAAUUAAUCUUCAUCUCUUCUGAGAAAUUUAGCAAGAAACAGAUAUCUCGGUGACAGAAAGUAACACAGCUUGCCUGUCUUUGUUGGUAUCUUCCUUUCUGAGGUUUCUAAGGCACUUGGUUGUUCCUUUGCAAGAAAACAUGGACUUAAUGAUCAUUCCUUUGUGACAAAUAUUCGUUACUAAUACCACAUUUACAUCCUACUGUUUGGCUUCUGUGCCUUUCUGAGUACAAAAUAGCUUGUCAUUUCAAUGCUGAAUUAUGGUGAAAUUUUUUUUUGGAGAACAUUUCUAAAUGGCAGUUAAGCUCUCGGGUUAAACUAACAGAUGCACAUGCCUCACAAUCGAAGUGAGGACAGUGCGAGAAGCUACGACCAAGUGGACACAGAAACAGAGGCAAAGGCAGCGAUAUCAUGACCACCACCACUUAGAUCAACGGCUAAGGCACUGUUGACUGAGAUGCAUCUGGAUUCCAGAGAUGUUACAUUGUGAAAAACUGUGCAUCUUAGAAUCAGUAGAAUACAAUGAUUCUGUCAGAUUCCAUGAUCUGGGAGAGAGUUCUGUAUCCAAGAUGUGUUUCUUCGAUGUCCUCUGUUUGCCGGGGAAACUUCUGGGCCUACAGUGGGAAGCCAGCUAGACAAUUUCCUUGACUGCAUGGAGCUCACACUGAGUAGGGAGAACAUGUGAUACAUGAAUAACCAGAAAAGUAAUCCAUUGUUUUCAGUGCAGUGAAAGAAACCGAUGGAGCCGGGAUAGAGCCUCAGGGAGAGUAGGGUCCAGGGUGUGUCGUGCAUUUCUGAUAAGUCCUCUCCAAUCCUGCUGAUUUCCAACUGAGUGGACAUUUGGAUUUUGGUCUCUGAGAGUCACUGAGAGCCUGCAGGGUGAUUGCCUGCCAAGGUUUACCCAGGACAGAGGGGUUUCCUGGGAUAUGGGAAUGGUAGUCCGGACACGGGCAGUCCCAGCCACACCGGCACAGUUGGUCUCCCUACAGGGUUCUAACUCAGUUUCUUUUUGGUUUAAUAUUUGCAUUACUAUCUCCAUAUCUAGUGAAGUUUGAUACUAAAUGUACAACUGUGACUUAUUUUCUUCUACUUCCGUCUCUUCUAUUUUCAUAAAAAGAGGUUAAUUUGAUAGAUAGGACUAAAAUCUUAUAAUCCCCAAAGGCAUUCAGUCAGUCAACAGCACUGACUUAAGCUCCUACCUCAGGUCCUGGGGGUGCUGCGGUGAUGGGGUGAGGUGGCCGCGAGGAGGAAGAGCGCCUGUCUGCAGAUGGCUGGAGGAAGGUAGGGAGCAUCCACCAAGGACUCCAGGAGUUGAGAGGAGGUGGGUGUCUGAUGAUGCACAGGUGAGGAGGACAGGGGAAGCUGCCCUCUGUUCGUAAUUUUCUUUUACUUUAGAUGAACAAUACGCACCAAAGGCUUCAAAGAACAGCAAUUUCCUUUGCCUUUGAAAUGAAUUAAGGGCAAAAACAACGCCAUGCUUUCAUGUUAGGAAUCAUUUUGGUAACGUAGUGUGGCUUUCUGUUUUGUAACUAAAAGACUGGCUGAACUCUGGACUGCAAAUGCUUUCAUGACUAUAUGAAAUAUAUACUUUUUUCUCUUUGAACCAAUGGAACGCAUAUUCUUGGCUUUCCCUUCAAGCAAGGGGCCCCCACGUGGAGAAGCCAUUUUCACUUCUGUGAGCAAAUGUGGUGGUUGGUGUUCAGUGACAUUGCCGUCCUUAUUAGGGUUCGCAAGCCCUCAGGGAACUUCGUGUUUGAUCUCUGCCUUCAGCUGUGUGAUUCCUUUUCUUGCCCCUUGCCCCUCUCCAUUUCAUAUCCGCCUCAUAUCUCUUAAACACAUAGUUCCUUCUUUAAUGGCUCAUUGCACUGAAUGCCGUGGUCAGUCUCAGAAGCGCUGUCAUCUGAACAAAACCCCCAACUCUCCACCUGAUCACUGUUGUUUAGUAUUAUUAUUUUUUUAAAUAUGAUAAAGUUGUCAUAUGGAAAUGGGGGCCUUGAUUCCUUAACCUCUUUGCCAAAACUAGCUCACAUAUGGCCAGGAAAUAGAAUGUAGGUAUGAGAAUGUGUGUGUGUACACGCUCACGUGUGCGUGUAUGCAUGCACUUGACGUAGUAUGAAACCAAAAAGACUUAAAGUUCAGUAAAAUUGGUAAUCGAUUUUUAAAUGAGGUAUGUUUUACGGGUUGAUGUUAUUUGAAAGCUGAACAGCUGAUGUCAAAAAUAGACUUCCCAUUCUUUCCAAAGUGUGGCAAAAAUAACCACAUGCCUUUCUUGGCCUCCCGGCUCUCACCCCAGAGGGUUUUCUUGUAUAGGAACCAACAAUGCCUUGGAUGGAAACUCGGGAUAGGCUAGUCAUUAUUUUAAGAUUUAGGAGAUUGCAGAUUCUUGGCAGACUUUGGUUGUUUUUCUAGAGUAGUAGGCAAGUAGUUGGACAAAAAAGCAAGAAGCCGAUCCAUGUCGCUGGCUUUGGGCUCUUUGUGAACAAAUGAGACAAGGUGAGUAGCUACCCUGAUCUUCCUGCCCUUGUUCCAUGAGGAAGGGUUCUGGUGGCUGCAGCCCUGGUGUGUGGAUCUUGGUCUCUUGGAAAACAAUGGGACCCUUCCCCUUUGCCUUUAGGCUUGCCUGCCACUGGAGGAAGACCUAGACGAUGUUUCUCUGGUGCCAGCAAAGCCCAUCGAGGGGUUAGAAAUAGUAGCAUUGCUUGUGGAGGGAGAACAAUCACUCCAUUGUCAGAUUUUUUUUUUUUCACUUUUCAUCCAAACGCUGGCUGCUUUGUAGCACAGUUGGAGAUACUGUGUUGAGGAGCCUUUGCUCAUGGCAACGUUUCCUCUGUUCGCUUUCUGCUGCUUCUUGCGUUGGAAAAUUCCAUCCUUUAACACUGGGAUUAUAUGUCACCAUUGCUGAAAUGAUAGACAGAGUUCACUUAGUUUGCUGCAAGCAUGAGAGACAGCCAGAGAGAAUGGGAGAAGCGUAGCAUUCCCUUGUAUAAAGAGAGGAUUGAACAAGGUCAGUGAACCAAAGAACCAGCAGGUCACAAACCCUCAGGGGGUCAUGAAAAUCUUCCCGGGUUUCUUGUCUUUAAGAGCAAAAAUGAUGCCUGUUUAGAUUAAAAAAAAAAUUUUUUUUAACGUAUUUAAGAUUGACCAUGAUAAUUGAGCUGGAGAAGUAUUUGAGGGCUCAUUAUUCUUGUUUCUGUACUUUGGCAUGUUUUUGAACAUUUUAAUGAUAGGAAGUUUUUAAGAAAGUAUUUAAAUACUUCUAUCUUUCAUUCCAGAAUGAUUCCAGAAGCACUGAGUGGGUAUCAGAUAUCCAUGCGUGGCAGGGACAGUGGCUUAACUGAACAUGCUCGUGAAUUGGCCUCGGUCAAUUUAACUGAGCUGAACCCCCAAAGCUUCUAACCUGUUUACAGUUUCAAAUGGCCUUUAGUCUUAGCCAUAUGUUCUUUGGUCCAUAUCUUGAAUGGAUCAUUUGUUAGACACUAGAAGCAUUAGCAACACAGAUGCUGAAAUUAGUGUUAUUAAUUCAGUAAAUUGCCUGAUGAUAAUCUUCUCUUUAUCUGAAGAUGAUCUUUUUCUCAUCAAAAUCUAUCCCUCUGAAGAUGCCCCUGGACUUCAGAAACUAAGUGUUACAGAAAGAAAAGACAGUGACAGUUAUGUCUAAUUUUGGUUUUCAUUGAUAAAGAACCAAUGAUUGUAUACAAGUGAUUAUAAAUAGCAGAAAGUCGAUUUUCUAAGCACAAAAUAAGGAAUUUCAGACAUGAGGUCAUGAAAGUGAUUUUUGAUGCCCCAAUUCCUAAUUAAUUUCAACCUGUACUUUAAUGUGAGCACCAAACAGCUAACACAAAAUACUUCUUUUAUUGACUUCCUCCCUGUAUCUGGUGGCCUUGGAAUUGUUAUCAUGAUAUUUGUUGUCUCAUACUGUUUCCUAGUGACCUUUGGGCACAGAAAUGGUAGAAUUUUCUAGAAAUAGGGCGUGUGGGCAUCUUGUAAAGUUUAUGGGUUUUAGACACACACUCCUGAAAUUCUAUGUUAAUCCUCACAUUCAAUUAAAAUUUUAAAUAUAUUGAAUAUUAGAGUUUAUACCAAUAGGAGAUUUAUGAUAUACAUGGAUGAAAUAGAAAAUAUUUUUUACUCCAGGUCUCUUCUUUUUAUAAUACCCUGUACUGGACAUCUUCUGUGCAUGUCUCUCACCUCCUGGCCCACCUUUGAUGCCAGCAAUUGCUGACAGGUGGACCCAGACAGUGCCUUGUUUCAGCUGCACCGUGUGUCUCUCUUUCAGCCCUGGGCUUCUCAGAGACUGUCUCCUGGUCUCCUGAACAUGCCUGUACAAUCUAGAAGUUGAAUGGGAGUCGACACCCCAUGAAAACAACCUUCCAAAAGGCAAUUGAAGUCCAUGGGAUAAUGCUUUCCUUUUUCUUCCCUCAGGCUGAAAAUUCCAGUGUGCCUUCUACACAGCUUCUUAGAAGGAUCCUCACAGGAGACGAGAUGGAUCACGUGGCCACCUUCUCUCCUUCUUUCUUUGCUUCACUCCCUCCUGUCCUUGACCCCUGUUUGCUGGGAUCAUGCUCCAAAAUAACCUUCCUGUACCAAAGCCCUUGUCCCAAGCUCUGCUUUCUGUGAGGAACCCAGGCUGGACACUAGAAUAAUGUGCUAGAAUUAAGACAUGAAUGUGGAUGGCUAAGGGAUUGGUUGGGUUGUAUAUCUCUAUGGGUGGCAUUCAAAGAGAAGUUUGGGAAACACUGGACCAGAUGUCUGUUGGAAUCAGAGCAUGUAAAAUGAGAAUUGUCAGGUCCCCAUUCUACUCUAACAGGUUUGUGGGUGUCUGAGUCUACCAUGAAGAACAAUAGAAGAUCCCCAAGGCUUAUCAAGCCUGUUCAACACCUGUGAAUGGGCAACUGACCAGAGACCUUGACAGUGUCCACUGAUGUGGCGUAAGAAGGUGAUCUGGACCACGCUGAUGUCCCCCUUCCUCCUCCUAGGCAUCGAAGUAAGGAAUGCCCAGAGCAUUUGUUCAGUCUGCAAUGGGAAGAGGUAUAUGGCUAGCCAUGAUCACUUUACAUGUUUUCAAAUCAAAUGCUUCUAGCUAGGCUUUCUGUGGUGGCUAAAAUCCUUUCUUCCUGGAUUCGUGAUGCAUUUAUUAACCAUUCUAUUUUUGUAUCAUAUGAAUUAUCAUCACUGAUGGUUGAAUGGCUGGAUUUAGAGAAAUGUGAUAGCCCUAAUGGAAUUAAUUAAUUGAAUAAUAUUGCCUGACAAAUGGCUCUGUAUACCAAAGAGGGCUUGAGACUUAAUUACUGAUGCCAUUUAUCUCUCUAUUUGCACCCCAACAAUAAGCGACUCGUUUCUCAUUAACGUUGGGUCAUUUUCCAAAAGGAAGAAAAGAGGCCAAAAUAUCAGGAAGGGGAAAAAAAAUCGAUGUCUUUGUUCCCCACCUCAUUAUCCUGAUAAAUCAUAACAGACUCUGUUAAUUAGAUGGGCAGCCUUAACUGGCUGACUCCUGUCCAACAAUUACCUCAGAAAGAAGCACCACUGGGAACAUUGCCUUCCCUUGGGAGGAGAUGAAAGGAAGUCUGUAACAAAAAAAGGGAUCGUUUCCCCAGCCAUGCUGGGGGGGUCACAGUUGUCAAGGCAAAUUUUGAGACCGAAGGGCGGAACCCAUUUCAGGGACAGUGCCUGUGCAUUAUGGUGCCACGGGGUAUCUGACACUGCCUUCCUAAUCUAAGGCUUAGGUGAUGGUGCUCGGUGCCUCCAACUCUCCUGGGGAGAUUAGAGCCUAAUUAAAACGGGGGAACAGGUGUAAGAGGGCCUGAUUUGAUCUGGCCAAAUUAAUUGCUGAGAUUGGGCUUGCAUUUGGUAACUGGAAACAGUGAAUUAACUAUCACCGGAAUACAGCUAAUCCCUCGGUCUCACCGCGACUGUGUAUACAACAGACUGAACUUGCUGGGAACACAAACACAGAGGGAUUUGAAGUGAAGGUACGACGCAUCCCUGUAUAGGAAAGGCUGGACAGUGAGCCUAGCCACAGAGGGUGGCCAUACAUCUCAGACUGCCUGCCUGGGAUAGUGCUGGUUUAUGCCUCUUGUCCCUGCAAAAUUAUUAAUAGUGCCCCUU